This 2511-nucleotide long non-coding RNA is filed under the name Fragaria vesca (wild strawberry). RNAcentral describes it as "long non-coding RNA (FVES_LNC000634)". The record is from RNAcentral. Lineage: Eukaryota; Viridiplantae; Streptophyta; Magnoliopsida; Rosales; Rosaceae.
AACAUAUGUGGCUUCGGACCAAAUGCAACUGGAAAGCGUGUUUUUGGACUGCGAAAGAUGAUGGGAUUUACCUCAAAGACAUUCCGGCGAAUAGAGACGAGCGUGUUCAUCCAUGGGAAUAACGUACAUGAUGGUGAUAUUGAAAUGGUUGUAAUGUUGUAAAUUGAACUUCUUGUAAUACAUAUAUAUAUAUGUAUAUAUAUACAUAUAUAUAUAUAUAUGUUUAUAAGAUCGUAAGAGCAUCUUUAGCAAUGCUAGCCAUUUUUAAGUUAAAUUUUAGUUAAAUUAGCUAAAAUGUCAUUUUGGCUAGCCACUUUAGAAAUGCGACUGCAUCAUUGCUCUCUAUUUUAUCUAGCAUUACAUCAACAUUAUUCUUCAAAUAAAGAUUAAAUAGUUUAAAUAUAUUUAUAUAUCACGUAAAAUAUCUUACAAGGAAUGUAUUAAAUUAUAACUAGUCUUAUCUGAGUUAUAUAACUAGCGAGAUAGCUAAAAGUCAUAAUAGCUAAAUUUUGGCUAAUCUGCUGGAGCUUCGAAAAUAUUUAAAAAAAGCUAAACACGCUUUCUAAAAUAGCUAAAAGCUAAAAUAGAGAGUUUGCUAAAGUUGCUCUAAAAGAAGAUCCGAAGAUGUUAAUAUCAUAUAUUUAUGAAGAAAUAAAAGAACAAGUUCGGCUUAAAAUAUUUCUUGUGUUGGAAUGUAAUACGUAACAAGCUUGAUCGGCUUUGCUCAGGUCAAUAAUUUGAAUCUAAUUAGAUGUUAGGAUGAGUUCGAUUUAUUUCUUGGAUUUAGGAACACUCUAACUGCUAUAUUGCUUUCUCUCCUACCACAUGAGAACAAGACCAUAUAUAAGCUCUCCAACAAGAUGCUAAUAAAUUAACAUGACUAAACCCUCGUAUGAAAAAAAAACAUUACUAAUUAAUAAUUAAACCCUAAAACUGGUCUUAAAUAUAAUUGUUAAGAGGGUAUAAGGCCGGAAAAUGAACCUUUGAAAAGAAUAAGGCAGCGAGUUUCCUUCUUUUGGUUACUCAAACGCAUUUCUAAUGUGAUACAUGACCAAACAAAUACAAGAGUGCAUUCCAGGUGAAUUAAAUUCACCAUAAUUGAGGCGGCGCUCCAGCUCCAAGACAACAUAGUUGUGCUUCCCGUCGAGGUGGCGAUCGGUCUUGAAGGCUGAGAGCGACAAGGCUUGAUGAGGCUUUCGGUUUUGAGCAGAGAAUCUUAUAGGCAAAGCCGGGCAAAUAUGUGGCCUUCAUUGCAAUGACGAGUGACGGCCUUCAGGCGGCCGGAAUUAAUCGACCUUUAACUUACGAGGCAGAAGUAAUCGUCGUCUUCUCAGUGGCGCCGUAGAAGCUGUUUGUUCUGGUUUUGAUUGAAUCGAAGAGACUUGCUCAUGGUUGGAUCAAAAGAUUACGUGUAACGACACAAUACUUGAGAUACCAUUUCAAGUAAAUAAAAUUAACUGAGUGAUUGAAUUUUCUUUUGGUAUAUAUAUUAAGUUGUGAAACAUCGAUCACAGUUUUUUUUUCUUCAUAUUUUAAUCUUCUCUUAUUUCGUCUUGUACUUCCCUAAUCAUUAGAAGUUUAGAACAUAGAAUAGGAGCUCCUAUCCUCUGGGAUAAAAUUUAAAUCUUGACCAAGUCCUUGGGAGAUCUACCGAGUGCCCAAAACCGUAUAACCAUUUACAACUAAAAUUACACAUUAUACUAAUACUAGCUUCUUCUGUUGUGUCCCAGAUUCAGAUUAGAUUUUUCUUGUUGACGCAAGGAACGGCUAUCACCUUUUGAGGGAGAGGAGAGCCUUUCGAUCGUUAAUCACAUACAACAGUUUUUCUCAUACAUUGACUGCUAGAAAUUGGAUAUAAAAAGAGCAUCGAGGAAUUGAUCAUAUCAGUCAUCUAUCUAAAUCCUCAUAAACAAGAAUGAUAGCUCUCAAAGGCAUUGCCAUUUUCUACUUGUGUGCAACUUUGGCACUUAGCAUCUGCCCGGAAUCCUAUGCCAAAUGGCCCGGUCUUGAUCCCACCAAUUGGAAUGUGCACGUUGUUAACGGUUUGAGUGGAGGAAGACAACUGGUUGUCCACUGCAAGUCCGACGUCGACGAUCUCGGCAUCCAUACUCUUGGUCCUGGUGGCGACUUCAAUUGGCAUUUCCAUGUCAACUUGCCUGGGACAACAAAAUUCACUUGCGACUGGCGUGCCGGCAAUCUACAUGCUGUGACUGAUGUGUUCUGGAGGGAGGCUGAACAUAUGUGGCUUCGGACCAAAUGCAACUGGAAAGAGUGUUUUUGGACUGCGAAAGACGAUGGCAUUUACCUCAAAGACAUUCCGGCGAAUAGUGAAGAGCGUGUUCAUCCAUGGGAAUAACAUGAUGGUGAUAUUGAAAGGUAGUUAUGUGUUGUAAAUUGCACUUCUUGUAAUACAUAUGUUUAAAUGAUUGUAAAGGAAGAUGUCAAAUUCAUAUAUUUCUGAAGAAAUUAAAGAUCCUAAAACAUAUCUUGGUGUUGAAAUGUAAUAACAAG